GACGAACGCUGGCGGCGUGCUUAACACAUGCAAGUCUAACGGAAAGGCUCCAGCUUGCUGGAGUACUCGAGUGGCGAACGGGUGAGUAACACGUGGGUGAUCUGCCCUGCACUUCGGGAUAAGCCUGGGAAACUGGGUCUAAUACCGGAUAGGACCGCACUUUGGUGUGUGUGGUGGAAAGGUUUUUCUGGUGUGGGAUGAGCUCGCGGCCUAUCAGUUUGUUGGUGGGGUAAUGGCCUACCAAGACGGCGACGGGUAGCCGGCCUGAGAGGGUGGACGGGCACAUUGGGACUGAGAUACGGCCCAGACUCCUACGGGAGGCAGCAGUGGGGAAGAUUGCACAAUGGGGGAAACCCUGAUGCAGCGACGCCGCGUGGGGGAUGAAGGCCUUCGGGUUGUAAACUCCGUUCGCUAGGGACGAAGCUUUUUGUGACGGUACCUGGAGAAGAAGCACCGGCUAACUACGUG
RNAcentral lists this ribosomal RNA (468 nucleotides) under uncultured bacterium. RNAcentral's name for it is "partial 16S ribosomal RNA". It matches the Rfam family "Bacterial small subunit ribosomal RNA", at positions 28 to 507 of the family's 1533-position model. The record is from RNAcentral.